This 300-nucleotide ribosomal RNA is filed under the name uncultured Streptomyces sp. Its description in RNAcentral is "bacterial SSU rRNA". It matches the Rfam family "Bacterial small subunit ribosomal RNA", at positions 495 to 795 of the family's 1533-position model. Lineage: Bacteria; Bacillati; Actinomycetota; Actinomycetes; Kitasatosporales; Streptomycetaceae. The record is from RNAcentral.
GGCGAACUCUGUGGCAGCAGCCGCGGUUAUAAGGGGGGUGCGAGCGUUAAUCGGAUUUACUGGGCGUAAAGCGUGCGUAGGCGGCUGAUUAAGUCGGAUGUGAAAUCCCUGAGCUUAACUUAGGAAUUGCAUUCGAUACUGGUCAGCUAGAGUAUGGGAGAGGAUGGUAGAAUUCCAGGUGUAGCGGUGAAAUGCGUAGAGAUCUGGAGGAAUACCGAUGGCGAAGGCAGCCAUCUGGCCUAAUACUGACGCUGAGGUACGAAAGCAUGGGGAGCAAACAGGAUUAGAUACCCGGGAGUC